ACUAUUUUGGCAGAUUAGUGCUUUGGAUUUAGAAUCCAAUUAUGUAAUUGUAUUACAGAUAGUA
RNAcentral lists this transfer RNA (64 nucleotides) under Deflorita sp. ZJZ-2017. RNAcentral's name for it is "tRNA-Leu". It matches the Rfam family "tRNA". Rfam says of the family: Transfer RNA (tRNA) molecules are approximately 80 nucleotides in length. Their secondary structure includes four short double-helical elements and three loops (D, anti-codon, and T loops). Lineage: Eukaryota; Metazoa; Arthropoda; Insecta; Orthoptera; Tettigoniidae. The record is from RNAcentral.